CAGUCGCCGCGGGAAUACGUAGGUGGCAAGCGUUGUCCGGAAUUAUCGGGCGUAAAGGGCUCGCAGGCGGUUUCUUAAGUCUGAUGUGAAAGCCCCCGGCUCAACCGGGGAGGGUCAUUGGAAACUGGGAAACUUGAGUGCAGAAGAGGAGAGUGGAAUUCCACGUGCAGCGGUGAAAUGCGUAGAGAUGUGGAGGAACACCAGUGGCGAAGGCGACUCUCUGGUCUGUAACUGACGCUGAGGAGCGAAAGCGUGGGGAGCGAACAGGAUUAGAUACCCGCGUAGUCCCUGUCUCUUAUAC
RNAcentral lists this ribosomal RNA (301 nucleotides) under uncultured bacterium. Its description in RNAcentral is "partial 16S ribosomal RNA". It matches the Rfam family "Bacterial small subunit ribosomal RNA", at positions 509 to 807 of the family's 1533-position model. The record is from RNAcentral.